GAAGAGAUGGCUGAGUGGACUAUAGUGUUGGAUUGCUAAUUCGUUGUACAAAUUCUUGUACCCGUGUUGGAUUGCUAAUUCGUUGUACAAAUUCUUGUACCGAGGGCUCAAAUCUCUCUCUUUUCG
Vigna angularis (adzuki bean) is the source of this 126-nucleotide transfer RNA. It matches the Rfam family "tRNA". Rfam says of the family: Transfer RNA (tRNA) molecules are approximately 80 nucleotides in length. Their secondary structure includes four short double-helical elements and three loops (D, anti-codon, and T loops). The record is from Rfam. Lineage: Eukaryota; Viridiplantae; Streptophyta; Magnoliopsida; Fabales; Fabaceae.